RNAcentral lists this ribosomal RNA (734 nucleotides) under uncultured bacterium. RNAcentral describes it as "bacterial SSU rRNA". It matches the Rfam family "Bacterial small subunit ribosomal RNA", at positions 46 to 739 of the family's 1533-position model. The record is from RNAcentral.
GCCUACACAUGCAAGUCGAACGAGAAGCUAACUUCUGAUUCCUUCGGGAUGAUGAAGUUGGUAGACAGUGGCGAACGGGUGAGUAACGCGUGGGUAAUCUACCCUGUAAGUGGGGGAUAACCCUCCGAAAGGAGGGCUAAUACCGCAUAAUACCUUUACUUCUCAAGAAGCAAAGAUUAAAGAUGGCCUCUAUACUAUGCUAUCACUUCAGGAUGAGCCCGCGUCCUAUUAGUUAGUUGGUGGGGUAAUGGCCUACCAAGACCACAAUGGGUAGCCGGUCUGGGAGGAUGUACGGCCACACUGGGACUGAGAUACGGCCCAGACUCCUACGGGAGGCAGCAGUGGGGAAUAUUGCGCAAUGGGGGAAACCCUGACGCAGCGACGCCGCGUGGAUGAUGAAGGCCUUUGGGUUGUAAAAUCCUGUUUUGGGGGAAGAAAGCUUAAGAGUCCAAUAUACUCUUAAGCCUGACGGUACCCCAAGAGAAAGCUCCGGCUAAUUAUGUGCCAGCAGCCGCGGUAAUACAUAAGGAGCAAGCGUUAUCCGGAAUUAUUGGGCGUAAAGAGCUCGUAGGCGGUUUUAAAAGUCAGGUGUGAAAUUAUCAGGCUCACCCUGAUAAAGUCAUCUGAAACUUUAGACUUGAGGUUAAAAAAGAAAGUGGAAUUCCCGGUGUAGCGGUGAAAUGCGUAAAUAUCGGGAGGAACCCCAGUGGCGAAGGCGGCUUUCUGGUCUAUCU